This is an RNA transcript of Cebus imitator (Panamanian white-faced capuchin), 1895 nucleotides long. It is a transcript of the gene named pre-mRNA-splicing factor SYF1-like, with no coding region annotated. Lineage: Eukaryota; Metazoa; Chordata; Mammalia; Primates; Cebidae. The record is from RefSeq and is a predicted model, not a curated record. The transcript has 2 exons.
AUGGGUUUGAGACGGCCCCUGCACCAGAACCCACACCACGUGCACGAGUGGCAUAAGCCUGUCGCCCUGCACCAGGGCCGCCCCCGGGAGACCAUCAACACCUACACAGAGGCUGUGCAGACGGUGGAUCCCUUCAAGGCCACAGGCAAACCCCACAUUCUGUGGGUGGCCUUUGCCAAGUUUUAUGAGGACAAUGGGCAGCUGGACGAUGCCCGUGUCAUCCUGGAGAAGGCCACCAAGGUGAACUUCAAGCAGGUGGAUGACCUGGCAAGCCUAUGGUGUCAGUGCGGGGAGCUGGAGCUCCGGCACGAGAACUAUGACGAGGCCCUGCGGCUGCUGCGGAAGGCCAGGGAGCUGCCUGCCCGCCGGGCCGAGUACUUCGACGGCUCAGAGCCCAUGCAGAACCGCGUGUGCAAGUCACUGAAGGUGUGGUCCAUACUCACCGACCUGGAGGAGAGCCUCAGCACCUUCCAGUCCACCAAGGCCGUGUACGACCGCCUCCCGGACCUGCGCAUCGCGACACCCCAGAUCGUCAUCAACUACGCCUUGUUCCUGGAGGAGCACAAGUACUUCGAGAAGAGCUUCAAGGCGUACGAGCGCUGCAUCUCGCUGUUCAAGCGGCCCAACGUGUCGGACAUCUGGAGCACCUACCUGACCAAAUUAAUCGCCCGCUACGGGGGCCGCAGGCUGGAGCGGGCACGGGACCUCUUCGAACAGGCUCUGGACCGCUACCCACCAAAAUAGCCAAGACCUUGUACCUGCUGUAUGCGCAGCUGGAGGAGUGGGGCCUGGCCCGGCACGCCAUGGCCGUGUAGGAGCGCGCCACCAGGGCCGUGGAGCCUGCACAGCAGUACGACAUGUUCAACAUCCGCAUCAAGCAGGCGGCCGAGAUCUACGGGGUCACCCACACCCGCAGCAUCCACCAGAAGGCCAUCGAGGUGCUGUCGGACGAGCAUGCACUUAAGAUGUGCCUGCGGUUCGCGGACAUGGAGUGCAAGCUGGGGGGAUCGACCGCGCCCGGGCCGUCCACAGCUUCUUCUCCUAGAUCUGCGACCCCCGGACGACCGGGGCGUUCUGGAAGACAUGGAAGGACUUUGAGGUACGGCACGGCAACGAAGACGCCAUCAAGGACAUGCUGCCCAUCCGGCAGAGCGUGCAGGCCACAUACAACACGCAGGUCAACUUCAUGACCUGGCAGAUGCUCAAGGUCUCGGACAGCGCCACGGGCACCGUGUCCGACCUGGCCCCUGGGCAGAGCGGCAUGGAUGACAUGAAGCUGUUGGAACAGCGCGCUGAACAGCUGGCAGCCGAGGCGGAGCGAGACCAGUCCCUGCGUGCCCAGAGCAAGAUCCUGUUCGUGAGAAGCGAUGCCUCCAGGGAGGAGCUGGCAGAGCUGGCGAAGCAGGUCAACCCCGAGGAGAUCCAGCUGGGCGAGGACGAGGACGAGGACGAGGACGAGGACGAGGACGAGGACGAGGACGAGGACGAGGACGAGAUGGACCUGGAACCCAACGAGGUCCAGCUAGAGCAGCAGAGCGUGCCAGCUGCCGUGUUCGGAAGCCUGAAAGAAGACUGACCCGUCCCUCCUCCCUUCCCCCAAUACGGCCGUGUUUGUAAAAAAAAAAUAAAAAAUAAAAAAUUUUGGUUUCCAGUGUCUCUGCAAUGGCGGCUCUGGACUCCCUGUUGUUCUUCACUGGUCUCGGCCUGAGCGAGCAGAAGGCCCGCGAGACGCUCAAGAACCAGACUCCGAGCGCGCAGCUGCGCGAGGCCGCUACCCAGGCUCAGCAGACCCUGGGCUCCACCAUUGACAAGGCUACCGGGACCCUGUUACAUGGCUUGGCCUCCCGACUCAGGGAUACCCGGCGUCUCUCCUUCCUUGUAAGCUGCAUAGCCAG